GGAAGAGCAGGAGAAACGGGUUUGCAAGAAAAGUGUCUUGGAUGAGUCUGUGGAAAAAAGGAGAGAGGUUGCUGUUGUGGCUUAAUGGUGUAUCUCAGAGAAAAGGAGGAGGAUCUCUUUACAGAGCAGUUGGAUGCUGGGGAUACUGUCAAUGAAGUGAUGAAGAUUGUCAUAUCCAGAGGUGCCACCAUGUCUGAUCCACCCAGCGCGAGGAUCUUCAUUGAGGGAACAGAAGUCCUGCAAGACCUGGACGUACCCAGA
Perca fluviatilis (European perch) is the source of this 261-nucleotide long non-coding RNA. RefSeq lists it as uncharacterized. Lineage: Eukaryota; Metazoa; Chordata; Actinopteri; Perciformes; Percidae. The transcript has 3 exons. The record is from RefSeq and is a predicted model, not a curated record.